This 3444-nucleotide ribosomal RNA is filed under the name Triticum aestivum (bread wheat). RNAcentral's name for it is "partial small subunit ribosomal RNA". Lineage: Eukaryota; Viridiplantae; Streptophyta; Magnoliopsida; Poales; Poaceae. The record is from RNAcentral.
AUGGUCAUACAGAGAGACCAGAAAAACAGAACAAGCAGCCUUCCACUCAGUAACGCUGAGCAUCCUCUGCAGUUCCUGGCAAUGGCGGCCACCGGGCACUCUUGCUUGCUCAUGCUGCUUCUCCUCGCGAGUUUCGUCGCUGAUGGCCAGCCAGUCUCCAUGCCCAACACCGAGGCUGCCGCGGACCACCUUGCGCUGGUGUCAUUCAAGUCGCUGAUAACCAGCGACCCGUCGUCAGCGCUGGCCUCAUGGUCAUGGGGCGGCAACCGAUCGCUCCCGCUGUGCCGGUGGCGCGGCGUGACGUGCGGCGCUCGGGGCAGCCAUCGUGGGCGUGUCGUAGCCCUGGACCUCAGCAACCUUGGCCUUUCAGGCGCCAUUGCCCCUUCGGUAGGCAAUCUCACCUACCUGAGAAAGCUCCAUCUUCCCAUGAACCGGCUCGCUGGCACCAUACCGUCGGAGCUUGGCCGCCUCGUCAACCUCCGGCAUGUCAACCUGAGCUACAACUCCCUUGAAGGCGGCAUCCCGGCGUCACUCUCACAGUGCCAUCAGCUCGAGAACAUCAGCCUGGCAUACAACAACCUCACCGGGGGAAUCCCUCCAGACAUGGGUGAUCUGCCCGGCAUGCGCCGGCUCCAGGUGCAGUACAACAUGCUCGACGGCCCGAUACUCCGCUCGUUAGGCUCGUUACGCGGCCUCGAGCUUCUUCAUGUCUCCAACAACAGACUUACAGGAAUGAUCCCUUCAGAAAUUGGCAACCUCACCAACCUAGUAAGCCUUAACCUCAACUACAAUCACUUGACAGGUUCAGUCCCUUCUUCUCUUCGUAGCCUUCAGAAAAUCCAGAAUUUGCAAGUGAGAGGGAAUCAACUCACGGGGCUAAUUCCAUCAUUCCUGGGAAACCUCUCGGCGUUAGCCGUUCUUAAUCUUGGAACCAACGGAUUUGAAGGGGAGAUUGUGCCAUUGCAAGCACUGUCAUCUCUGUCUGUCCUUGUUUUGCAAGAAAAUAAGCUUCAUGGUGGCCUCCCUUCCUGGCUAGGAAACCUCUCCUCGCUGGUAUACCUAAGCUUGGGAGGAAAUAGCUUCACUGGGUAUAUUCCUGAAUCAUUAGGAAACCUUCAGAUGUUAUCUGGUCUUGUUCUCGCGGAAAACAGUCUUACCGGCACCAUUCCUUCCUCCCUCGGAAACCUUCGCGCUCUUUCCGACUUAUAUCUCGACAAAAAUCAGCUCACCGGACAAGUUCCUUCUUCCAUUUUCAACAUGUCCUCUCUAAGAAUAUUUAAUCUACAGUUCAACCAGCUAACUGGAUCGUUGCCGACUGGGAAAAAGGUCAGCUUUCCAGUACUCGACAUAUUUAAUGUAGGGGAAAAUAGGUUUCAGGGUGUUAUUCCACCUUGGCUGUGCAACUGUUCCAUGCUUACCAAAAUUGCAGUAGAAGUGAAUAUGAUCUCUGGAACGGUCCCGCCUUGUCUUGGAGAUAACCUGAAAAGCUUGUCGAUCCUGACCCUUGGACAAAACCAACUACUGGCAAAUGAAGAUGAUGGCUGGGACUUCUUGUCCAGUUUAACCAAUAGCAGCCGUCUGAAGAUUUUGGAUUUCAGCAGCAACAGAUUUCAUGGCAAGCUACCAAAUUCAGUAGCCAAUCUUUCUACAGAACUGCAAGCUUUCAACAUAGCCAACAACAUGAUAAGUGGCAACAUUCCUGAUCGAAUUGGGAACCUUGUUAAUUUAUCAUACCUUUUGAUGAACAUCAACUCUCUUGAGGGUACUAUUCCUUCCUCUCUUGGUAGACUCCAGAGGCUGAGCUACUUAGAUCUUGGUAUGAACAAUCUCUCAGGGCAAAUUCCACCAACCCUCGGCAAUCUCACACUGCUGAAUAAACUCUAUCUUGGAACAAAUUCACUUAGUGGACCUGUUCCAUCCAGUCUUAGCAACUGUCCUUUAGAACUAUUGGCUGUUCAGCACAACAAGCUCAGAGGUCCGAUUCCAGAGGAAGUCUUUCUCAUAUCCACCUUGUCUAACUUCAUGUACUUCCAAAGCAACUUGUUUAGUGGGUCACUUCCAUUGGAGAUCGGUAGCUUGAAACAUAUUGCAGACAUCGAUUUAUCUGAUAAUCAAAUUUCUGGUGAGAUCCCUGCCUCCAUUGGUGAUUGCCAAAGCCUACAAUUUUUAAAGAUGCAAAGGAACUUCCUUCAAGGGAGAAUCCCGGCAUCAGUGGGACGGCUGAAAGGCCUUGAAGUACUUGAUCUCUCACAUAACAACUUGUCAGGAGAAAUUCCUGAGUUUCUUGGGAGUAUGAAAGGCCUUGGUAGUCUGAACCUGUCAUUCAACUCCUUUGAAGGUGAAGUCCCAAAAGAAGGAGUAUUUCUUGAUGUAAACGCAACCGCGGUUGAGGGAAAUCAAGGACUGUGUGGUGGUAACCCUGGAAUAAAGUUGCCACCAUGUUCCACCCACACCAACAAGAAACAGUCUUCGAAGCUUAUCAUGAUAAUCUCCAUAAGCAGUGCAGUCCUAUUGAUCAUCGUCCUUUUAGCAUUGUUUGCAUUCUGGUACAGAAGGACCAAGUCACAACAAGCUAACUCAGACUUGUCACUCAUCAACGACUUGCACAUCAGAGUAUCUUAUGCUGAAUUAGUCAAUGCGACAAAUGGUUUUGCUUCUGAGAACCUCAUCGGAGUAGGAAGCUUCGGUUCGGUGUACAAGGGAAGAAUGAUGAUCCACGACCAACAGGUCACUGUUGCUGUCAAAGUGCUUAAUCUCCAACAACGUGGGGCAUCUCAGAGUUUUGUUGCAGAAUGUGAGACACUGAGAUGUGUUCGACGUCGGAACCUUCUGAAGAUCUUGACGGUCUGCUCAAGCAUGGAUUUCCGGAGCCAAGAUUUCAAGGCUCUUGUGUAUGAAUUUCUACCAAAUGGAAAUUUAGACCAAUGGAUACAGAAGCCUUAUGAAGAAAAUGAUGGAGACCGGGUGCUAAAUCUCAUCGGAAGGCUCAGCAUCACCAUUGAUGUAGGUUCUGCACUUGAUUAUCUUCACCAACACAGGCCAUUGCCAGUAAUUCACUGUGAUCUCAAGCCAAGCAAUAUCCUCCUUGAUAGUAACAUGGUUGCUCAUGUUGGUGAUUUUGGGCUUGCAAGAGCCCUGCGUCAGGAGGGUAGUGAUUUCUUAGAGAAAUCAAGUGGCUGGGCUACAAUGAGAGGAACAGUUGGCUAUGCUGCUCCAGAGUAUGGUUUAGGCAAUGAAGUUUCGAUCCUGGGUGAUGUCUAUAGCUAUGGGGUGCUGUUGCUGGAGAUGUUUACUGGGAAAAAGACCAACAGACGGCAAGUUUGGAGAAGCUCUAGGUCUUCACAAAUAUGUUCAGAUGGCACUUCCAGACAGAGUGAUCAAUAUUGUGGAUCACCAGUUAUUAACAAAAGACAAAGAUGGAGAAAGAAACACCUCAAACCCUGA